CUGGCAGUGAAGAAGGCUGGAGAAACCAGAAGGUUCAGAGGGGGAUGGGAAGAAUUCUACCUCACAGUUUUGCAUAGGGGAUAGCUAUGCUUUUGCAGGACAUUUUAGCCUUUAAAACCAUAUUUUCAAUAUUGUGUUUAUAUUCAGUACUACCCAGCUGUGGUUAUUUCAUACUCUGGUGACUUUCUUAUCCACUGUGUUUUAUCUUUCCUGCCCAUUCUAUUACAUAGAGCAUUUACCUGUAUUAGCCUGUAAAAUUAUAAUCGUAUGUAUGUUUCCAGUGCCCAUGUUCAAAGAUAUUUGUGUAUGGUUUAUCUGAUCUUUCCUAUUAGAUUUGUAAAGGCUGGGAAUUUUGGCUUCUACUGUAAAUCCUUAUAAUGCUCCACACAUUGUAAAUAUGCAAUAAAAUGUUAAGAACUAUAAUGGCAGUGGAUUUUGAUAU
Molecule: long non-coding RNA, 442 nt
Filed under: Marmota monax (woodchuck)
Lineage: Eukaryota; Metazoa; Chordata; Mammalia; Rodentia; Sciuridae
Source: RNAcentral